GACGAACGCUGGCGGCGUGCCUAAUACAUGCAAGUAGAACGCUGAAGGAGGAGCUUGCUUCUCUGGAUGAGUUGCGAACGGGUGAGUAACGCGUAGGUAACCUGCCUGGUAGCGGGGGAUAACUAUUGGAAACGAUAGCUAAUACCGCAUAAGAGUAGAUGUUGCAUUACAUUUGCUUAAAAGGUGCAAUUGCAUCACUACCAGAUGGACCUGCGUUGUAUUAGCUAGUUGGUGGGGUAAAGGCUCACCAAGGCGACGAUACAUAGCCGCCCUGUGAGGGGGAUCGGCCACACUGGGACUGAGAAACGGCCCAGACUGCAACGGGAGGCAGCAGAAGGGAAUCUGCGGGGAUGGAGGGAAGACUGACCAAGAAAGGGCGGGUGAGUGAAGAAGGUUUGCGGAUCGUAAAACGCUGUUGUAAGGGAAGAAAGAGGGUGAGGGUGGAAAGGACACGCUGGGACGGUAACUUACCAGAAAGGGACGGCUAACUACGUG
This 495-nucleotide ribosomal RNA is filed under the name uncultured bacterium. RNAcentral describes it as "partial 16S ribosomal RNA". It matches the Rfam family "Bacterial small subunit ribosomal RNA", at positions 28 to 507 of the family's 1533-position model. The record is from RNAcentral.